This 1215-nucleotide long non-coding RNA is filed under the name Aquilegia coerulea. RNAcentral's name for it is "long non-coding RNA (ACOE_LNC001523)". The record is from RNAcentral. Lineage: Eukaryota; Viridiplantae; Streptophyta; Magnoliopsida; Ranunculales; Ranunculaceae.
GCUGCAUACUUGACUAAAACAUCAGCUACAUUAUUUCCUUCACAGUAACUCCAUUGCACACAUGGUGUGUUAUGAACAUUUGAAUGUAGGAGAUGGAUCAAGGGACGUGAGUUUGUCUCAAGAAUGGCAUUGCAUUGCUUAUUGCUUAUGUUGAGAGUAUGUAGGAUGCGGAGCCCAAAAGCAAAGCACACCUAAGUCUAGAAGGUCCAGGAUUUCCAAAUGAUGAACCAUCAAAAUUAACCUUCAACAUUCCUGAUGGAGGAUAUACCUAAUGAACAUCAACAUGCUUCGCCAGAAAAAUAUUAAAACUUUCAUACCUUUGUGCAUGUGGGGAAUCCAUGAGCUAAAGGAAAAGCUUGUGCUUGUCGAGCAUAAUGGAAAGUCUGCAAAUUGUCCAUUCCUGGGUGAAACAUGGAUGAUUGCGUGCGAUCUAGAUACACCACAAAGCAGAAGAGACAAGAGUUAUAAGAUUGUGUCCAUUAUGUAAACUGUCAAGAGUAGAAAAAUAAAUCGUGUAAUAAACUUGAUAAAUUUAAAAUUACUUUUGAGUUUGUGAAGCAAAGUUAAUUAUUUUUCAAGUAUCCCCACAAAUAUCAAAGAACUCCAUUAUAAAAAAGGGAUAUUACAAGUAUAAAUAAGUUGAUAGAUCACAUCGUAGCCAUCAAUAUUUUUGAAUCUUGUUGUAUGCGAAGGAAGUGAGAUUGGAGUAAUUAUAUUAAGGGAGUCACUAUAGCCGCCCCGAUGUAUCUUAAAUAAUAUAUAUGUAUCCUUAACGACCUUGAAACAUUUCUGUGUGUUCUUAUAGACUAUUAUUGUUGCACCAGGAACACCUCACAUCCAUUUUUAAAGCUAACAGAUCUAACCUAAGAGUCUAAGCUUUCGUAAUGGAGCUGCAACCUGCCUACUUCUCCUUCGUGUUCAUUCUCAUUCUCAUCCUAUUCCUAUUCAUGCUUUUGAAAGUGAAUAGGAGUGCAAAACCCCGUACCACAAAUUCUAAACUGCCUCCACAGCCAUGGAAGCUACCGAUCAUAGGCCACUUGCAUCAUUUACUCGGACUACCACAUCACAUCCUCAGGAAUCUAGCUCAAAAAUAUGGUCCUCUUAUGCUAUUACAACUUGGUGAAGUUCAUGCCAUCAUUGUUUCUUCACCAAAAGUGGCAAGAGAGAUAUUAAAGACACAUGACAUUGAGUUUGCAGACAGACCUGCACUUCUUG